GAAACCCUCCUGGGUCGACCCGACCGCGCCGCCCCCCUCGCGGGAGCGUCGCCCCGCCGGCCGCCGGCCGCCGCCCUCCUUUCUCGCAGCAGCGGCGCCCCACCGGCCGCCGGCCUCCUUCCUCGCGGCAGCGUCGUUCCUCCUUCCUCUCGGCAGGUGCGCUUCUCCACGCGUCGCGCGGGGCUCUUCAAGAAGGCCUUCGAGCUCUCGCUGCUCUGCGACGCCGAUGUCGCGCUCCUCGUCUUCUCCCCCGCCGGCAAGCUCUACGAGUACGCCUCCGCAAGGCAUAGAUGGAGUGGGAAAUAUGAAGCUCAUUUGUGGGACAUUUCUUGCAGAGUAGAAGGACAUAGAAGAAAAGGGAAAUAAGGUUUCAUAUAUGGCAUGCUGUUUCCCGCAUUUGUUUCAGUCUAUUCUCAUUUAUCUAUCAGUGUGCGAUUAUCAUGAGUAGUGUGUUCUUUUGCAGUGGUAGAACAUGACUAGGAUUGUUUCCAGUUAAUAGAAGAGCACAAUUUUGUAUAGCACUCUCCAGGCCACAUUUCACUUAGCACAAACUACACUCAGUCAUAGAAUACUUAAAAAUGUUAUGUUUCUUUCAUUGUCGGGUCAACACUGAAGUUGUUUUUUGGGUAUCAUAUAACUCUAUCAUCUGUCCAAGAUCCCCACCUGCACAUUAAGAUUGUUCUGUGCCUUAUUCUGAUCCUUUCACUUACUAUUGUUGGCAUUGCACACUUGGAUGACCAUUAAUAUACAGCAAAAGUAGCUCGGUAGUCGGUAUACAUUUAGUACAUUUAGUUGUGGUGAUAGUUUGCUGUGCGCCUAGUUAAAUCUCACAUUUCACUGCCUUUCAAAUAUCUCUGGAUCUCUGUUUUCUAAGUUCUAGCUACAUAACUUCAAAAGUAGCUGCAUCCUUUAUCACAAUGUGGUUCUGAUACAGCUAGGAAUAUUUGUGGACAAAUGAUAAUUUUGUUGUAUUUGGUGAUCGGAAGAUUAACUGGAUGAAGCAUGAGCAUUUUCAAUUAUAAAUAUAUCUGGCAGAAUUUCAAUGGAGCAGAUUCAUUUUGUAGGAUUCAUCCAAGAUACAAAAUAAUUGAUGCUGACGGUAAUAGUGACAGGCUGAGAUCAAUGAUGUUUAUCAAACAAAUAUUCAGAUCCAUAUGGUGCCUAACAUCCAUUUUGAUCAUUUACUGAAACAAUAUGUGUUGUGUUGAAAGCUUGAACUCGGUAAUGUAAUGAUGUAUUUGACUACUGAGACUUUGGGCUUCGUUUGUAUUUUGUAAUCCAUGUCUGAAUGCUAUGGCUUUGGAGGUAUUUUGAUUUGCAGGAAGGAUUUUUCUUGAGGCU
This is a long non-coding RNA of Panicum virgatum (switchgrass), 1341 nucleotides long. RefSeq lists it as uncharacterized. The record is from RefSeq and is a predicted model, not a curated record. The transcript has 3 exons. NCBI's taxonomy places the organism in Eukaryota, Viridiplantae, Streptophyta, Magnoliopsida, Poales, Poaceae.